GACGAACGCUGGCGGCGUGCUUAACACAUGCAAGUCGAACGGAAAGGCCCCUUUGGGGGUACUCGAGUGGCGAACGGGCGAGUAACACGUGAGUAACCUGCCCUUCACUUCCGGAUAACUUCAGGAAACUGGGGCUAAUACCGGAUAGGAAUCCUUGCUGCAUGGUGGGGGUUGGAAAGCUUCGGUGGUUUUGGGUGGAUUCGCGGCUUAUUAGCUUGUUGGUGGGGUAGUGGCUUACCUAGGCUUUGACGGGUAGCCGGCCUGGGAGGGCGACCGGCCACAUUGGGAAUGGGGAACGGCCCAGACUCCUACGGGGAGCAGCAGGGGGGGAUAUUGCACAAUGGGCGGGAGCCUGAUGCAGCAACGCCGGGUGGGGGGUGACGGGCUUCGGGUUGUAAACCGCUUUCAGCAGGGGCGAAGCUGGUGGUGACGGUACCUGCAGAAGAAGCACCGGCUAACUACGUG
Molecule: ribosomal RNA, 465 nt
Filed under: uncultured bacterium
Lineage: Bacteria
Description: partial 16S ribosomal RNA
Rfam family: Bacterial small subunit ribosomal RNA
Source: RNAcentral